AUGGGAUGGAGUUGUGUGUUUUUCUUUCUCCUGUCAGUAACUGCUGGUGUCUACUCCCAGGUUCAGCUGCAGCAGUCUGGAGCUGAGCUAGUGAAGCCUGGGACUUCAGUGAAGUUGUCCUGCAAGGCUUCUGGCUAUGACUUCACCAGCUAUGAUAUAAGCUGGGUAAAGCAGAGUCCUCGACAGGGCCUGGAAUGGAUUGGAUGGAUUUAUCCUGGAAAUGGUAAUACUGGCUACAAUGAUAAAUUCAAAGGCAAGGCCACCUUGACUGCAGACAAAUCCUCCAGCACAGCCUACAUGCAGCUCAGCAGCCUGACAUCUGAGGACUCUGCGGUCUAUUAUUGUGCAAGACACAGCAAAGUUUACCACAAUUUCCUGGAUUUUUAUGGCUGCCAUCUGUUCACAAUUCCUGGAACUCACCUGGAAUUAGAUUAA
Molecule: non-coding RNA, 435 nt
Organism: Arvicanthis niloticus (Nile rat)
Lineage: Eukaryota; Metazoa; Chordata; Mammalia; Rodentia; Muridae
Source: the annotation of a RefSeq genome assembly